Molecule: long non-coding RNA, 942 nt
Organism: Gymnogyps californianus (California condor)
Lineage: Eukaryota; Metazoa; Chordata; Aves; Accipitriformes; Cathartidae
Exons: 10
Source: RefSeq, a predicted model, not a curated record
GUUUAAGCUGUUUGGGCAGAUGGGUUUUGACAUUUAGAGGGGCGGAGGUGUCUGUUUGAGGUGCCUUGCGUUUUCCUGGAUUUCUUGACUUUAUUGAAGAUGGAACCUUGUUUUCUUCAUCGGUUUGGUGUGUACUGUGCGCCCUGCAGGCAGCCUUUGGAACUGGAUGAACAUUUGAGGUACCACGAGCGAUGACGGCCGCAGCGUCCGAGACUGGAAUUCCUGCAGAGCAGAUGAUGAAAGAGGAACGUGGCGACUGCAGGAAUGUCCUGGUUUGCUGAUGUGUUUUUUGUUGAGGAUGGAUUCAGACCGCUGGCCCUCUGAAAGCUAAAUGCAGAAGGACGAGCUGUGCGUCAAAGGGCAACGGAGGAGAGGCGAGCGGAGCGCCGUAAGAAGGGUGUGAAGCGAUGAGCAAAGCAGCAUAUCUGCACCGGAGCUGACUCGGGCAAGGUGAGCCACGCCUAGUGGGCUGAAGUAGCGGUUAUUUUUCAGGUGCCGUACCGUUGGUGAAGUUGUAAGCAUCCCUUGUUGUUUGUGUCUUACAGGUGGUACCCGAGCCUCAACGUGGCGACCUGUAAGCGGCAGAGGCAGGGCGGGCGAGCGGCCGAGGUGCCACACGUAGCCUCGGAGGGGCGAAGCCGCGUGCUGAUGAGCGGUCCGAGAAGGCAAAGGCGGUUGUCGGCCAGGUUGGUGCCCAAUAGCAAAGUAUUAUAUGGCAACUUAGUAAGCAUUUCUCUUUGGUUUUGCAGGUGCCGUGCGGGCCACCUUUGGAACUGGAUGAGCGUUUGAGGUACCGCAAGCGACGACGGCCACGGCGUCUGACUCUGGAAUGAGGAGAUGAUGAAGAGGAACCUGGUGACUGCAGGAACAUCCCAGUUAGCCGAUGUGGUUUUUGUUGAGGAUGGAUUCAAACCCCUGGCUCUCUGAAAGCUAAGUCGAAGG